UGAGGAAUAUUGCGCAAUGGAGGAAACUCUGACGCAGCCAUGCCGCGUGAAGGAUUGAAUGCCCUAUGGGUUGUAAACUUCUUUUGUACGGGAAAAACCCUUGCUCGUGAGCGAGGUUGAUGGUACCGUAAGAAUAAGCACCGGCUAACUCCGUGCCAGCAGCCGCGGUAAUACGGAGGGUGCAAGCGUUAUCCGGAUUUAUUGGGUUUAAAGGGUGCGUAGGCGGUUUAUUAAGUCAGUGGUGAAAGACGGUCGCUCAACGAUUGCAGUGCCAUUGAUACUGGUAGACUUGAGUAUGAUUGAGGUAGCUGGAAUGGAUAGUGUAGCGGUGAAAUGCAUAGAUAUUAUCCAGAACACCAAUUGCGUAGGCAAGUUACUAAGUCAUAACUGACGCUGAGGCACGAAAGUGUGGGUAUCAAACAGGAUUAGAUACCCAAGUAGUCCCUGAGCGGGCUGGCAAGGCGCAU
RNAcentral lists this ribosomal RNA (467 nucleotides) under uncultured bacterium. RNAcentral's name for it is "bacterial SSU rRNA". It matches the Rfam family "Bacterial small subunit ribosomal RNA", at positions 355 to 825 of the family's 1533-position model. The record is from RNAcentral.